This 83-nucleotide small RNA is filed under the name Marmota monax (woodchuck). Lineage: Eukaryota; Metazoa; Chordata; Mammalia; Rodentia; Sciuridae. The record is from RNAcentral.
GCUGGGUGUGGUGGCGCACGCCUGUAAUCCCAGUCAUUUGGAAGGCUGAGGUAGGAUGAACGCAAGUUCUGGGCUAGCCUCAG